Molecule: ribosomal RNA, 269 nt
Filed under: uncultured Bacteroidota bacterium
Lineage: Bacteria; Pseudomonadati; Bacteroidota
Description: uncultured Bacteroidetes bacterium partial 16S ribosomal RNA
Rfam family: Bacterial small subunit ribosomal RNA
Source: RNAcentral
ACGGGUAGUUAAUAUCUGGUGGCGACCGGCGGAUGGGUGCGUAACGCGUAUGCAACCUUCCUUAUGCAGGGGGAUAGCCCAUGGAAACGUGGAUUAAUACCCCAUAAUAUCACCUGAUCGCAUGUUUAGGUGAUUAAACGAAUUUUGGCAUAAGAUGGGCAUGCGUCUGAUUAGCUAGUUGGCAGGGUAACGGCCUGCCAAGGCUACGAUCAGUAGGGGUUCUGAGAGGAUUAUCCCCCACACUGGUACUGAGACACGGACCAGACUCC